GGGCUUGUGGUUUAGUGGUAGUAAGUUUUCGUCUCAUCGGUUUUCAGCUCAACGGCAUCUAACAAUUUGAUUAGUAAUUUUCCCUUAGCAUGGGAAAGGUCCUGGGUUCGAUUCCCAGCAAGUCCA
Molecule: transfer RNA, 126 nt
Filed under: Dendryphion nanum
Lineage: Eukaryota; Fungi; Ascomycota; Dothideomycetes; Pleosporales; Torulaceae
Rfam family: tRNA
About the family: Transfer RNA (tRNA) molecules are approximately 80 nucleotides in length. Their secondary structure includes four short double-helical elements and three loops (D, anti-codon, and T loops).
Source: Rfam by way of RNAcentral